Myotis davidii is the source of this 113-nucleotide long non-coding RNA. RefSeq lists it as uncharacterized. The transcript is spliced from 3 exons. NCBI's taxonomy places the organism in Eukaryota, Metazoa, Chordata, Mammalia, Chiroptera, Vespertilionidae. The record is from RefSeq and is a predicted model, not a curated record.
GUCAUUCAUAUGGAAAAGCUGCUGCAAACAGCUUGGGUGGGGCUGCAAAUUGGAUGUGGUGCGGUCUCAGGGAAUGACCAGGGUAGAGUGAACAGUGUGGAAAACACUAGUGG